Molecule: small nuclear RNA, 97 nt
Filed under: Zalophus californianus (California sea lion)
Lineage: Eukaryota; Metazoa; Chordata; Mammalia; Carnivora; Otariidae
Also listed under: 1 other name
Source: RNAcentral
GUACUCCCUUCAGCAGCACAUAUACUAAAAUUGGAGAAGAUUAGCAUGACCCCUGCACAAGGAUGACGUGCAAAUUCGUGAAGUGUUCAAUAUUUUG